CAGAAAACCAGAAGACCUGUCUGGAGGCUGAGGUGGUUGGAGAUUAAGGUGUGGAGGUUCGGACUUCGGGUCAGGACAGGUCUCAGGUCUGGGUUCUGGGUAACUAACCGAGGACAAGGUAGUUGCAGGCUAGCAUUUGGAGGUGGAGGGCUGCUCUGGUUCCAGGUUUUAGGUUGUAAAUAAAAUCCCUUU
Long non-coding RNA from Perognathus longimembris pacificus (Pacific pocket mouse), 192 nucleotides. RefSeq lists it as uncharacterized. Lineage: Eukaryota; Metazoa; Chordata; Mammalia; Rodentia; Heteromyidae. The transcript has 3 exons. The record is from RefSeq and is a predicted model, not a curated record.